Molecule: ribosomal RNA, 499 nt
Filed under: uncultured bacterium
Lineage: Bacteria
Description: partial 16S ribosomal RNA
Rfam family: Bacterial small subunit ribosomal RNA
Source: RNAcentral
GACGAACGCUGGCGGCGUGCUUAACACAUGCAAGUCGAACGGGCCUGUCUUCUUUUUUGGGGGUGGGUUGAGUGGCGAACGGGUGAGUAUCACGUGAGUAACCUGCCCUUCGGUCCUGGAUAACCGCUUGAAAGGGCGGCUAAUACGGGGUGGUCCGGUUGGUCCGCAUGGGCUGGUCGGGAUAGAUUCACUGUUUUUGGUGUUUCGGCGGGGGAUGGGCUCGCGGCCUAUCAGCUUGAUGGUGGGGUGAUGGCCUACCAAGGCGGUGACGGGUAGCCGGCCUGAGAGGGUGGGCGGCCACACUGGGACUGAGCUCCGGCCCAGCCUACUGCGGGAGGCAGCCGUGGGGGGUAUUGCACAAUGGGCGGCAACCUGAUGCAGCGACGUCGCGUGAGAGAUGGAGGCCUUCGGGUUGUGAACCUCUGUUUGCGGUGGUGAAGGCCCUGUCCGUGUGGUGGGGUUGACGGUAGCCGGGGAUGAAGCGCCGGCUAACUACGUG